This 449-nucleotide ribosomal RNA is filed under the name uncultured bacterium. RNAcentral's name for it is "partial 16S ribosomal RNA". It matches the Rfam family "Bacterial small subunit ribosomal RNA", at positions 29 to 523 of the family's 1533-position model. The record is from RNAcentral.
AACGAACGCUGGCGGCAUGCCUAACACAUGCAAGUCGAACGAGAUCUUCGGGUCUAGUGGCGCACGGGUGCGUAACGCGUGGGAAUCUGCCCUUUGGUUCGGAAUAACAGUUGGAAACGACUGCUAAUACCGGAUGAUGACGAAAGUCCAAAGAUUUAUCGCCAGAGGAUGAGCCCGCGUGGGAUUAGCUAGUUGGUGUGGUGAAGGCGCACCAAGGGGACGAUCCUUAGCUGGUCUGAGAGGAUGAUCAGCCACACUGGGACUGAGACACGGCCCAGACUCCUACGGGAGGCAGCAGUGGGGAAUAUUGGACAAUGGGCGAAAGCCUGAUCCAGCAAUGCCGCGUGAGUGAUGAAUGCCUUAGGGUUGUAAAGCUCUUUUACCCGGGAUGAUAAUGACAGUACCGGGAGAAUAAGCUCCGGCUAACUCCGUGCCAGCAGCCGCAGUAA